This 843-nucleotide non-coding RNA is filed under the name Lamprotula tortuosa. The record is from RNAcentral. Lineage: Eukaryota; Metazoa; Mollusca; Bivalvia; Unionida; Unionidae.
GCACUUUGUUCUGAUGCUAAAUUAACUAAGAUUUCUAAACUACAUAUGGUAAACCAAAAAUUUUGUGAAUAAUCUACAGGUAAGCAAGAUGUUCAAUACAUUAAAACUAAACCUUCAGAAACGGAGUACGAACACACUCCACGGUAAAUCACCCACAACACCAAUGAUUUAUUUUGUUUCAGCUAGGAAACUAGGCAACAGAGAUAGUCAAUCACAAGUGACCAAAUAAGGUGCCAGCAGUCGCGGUUACACCUAAUCUUGAAGUUAAUUCCCACAAUAAAGAGGUCUACAAUAUAGAUGAUUUUAACUUUGCCUGUAAAAGUAAAAUUUAUACUUUGAUAAAUAUACCCAAAUAGAUCUUACUAUUUCCCUCAACAAACCACACCACAAGACAGGGAUUAGAUACCCCAUUAUUGCGUGGCUCAACACAACAAAUACUAAAAACGAAAGUUCCAAACUUAAAGAACGUGGCGGUGUUCUACACCAUAUUAGGGGAUCCUGUGGCUUAAUUCGAUAAUCCACGACUAAACAAAGCUUUAUUAGUUCACAGCUUAUGUAUGGCCGUCUUACGCCUGCGCACUAAUGCUAUAACAGGAGACAACUAAAGUCAAACUUUAACAAUACAGGUGACAUAUAGCCUAUAUAAAGCAGUUCAUGGGAUACAAAUAACUACUAUUAUCCUAAAGUAACUCGAAAUCGUUACAAAAAGGAGGACUUAAAAGUAAGAUUAAAACAAUAUUUUAACCUGAACAAGACAUAGAGCGCGCACAAAUCGCCCGUCACUCCCAGACUCUAAUCGGGACAAGUCGUAACAUAGUAGGGGUAACGGAAGUUGCCCCUAAA